RNAcentral lists this ribosomal RNA (643 nucleotides) under uncultured Paracoccaceae bacterium. RNAcentral describes it as "bacterial SSU rRNA". It matches the Rfam family "Bacterial small subunit ribosomal RNA", at positions 60 to 749 of the family's 1533-position model. The record is from RNAcentral. Lineage: Bacteria; Pseudomonadati; Pseudomonadota; Alphaproteobacteria; Rhodobacterales; Paracoccaceae.
AGUCGAGCGCUCUCUUCGGAGGGAGCGGCGGACGGGUGAGUAACGCGUGGGAACGUGCCCUUCUCUGCGGAAUAGCCACUGGAAACGGUGAGUAAUACCGCAUACGCCCUUCGGGGGAAAGAUUUAUCGGAGAAGGAUCGGCCCGCGUUAGAUUAGGUAGUUGGUGGGGUAAUGGCCUACCAAGCCUACGAUCUAUAGCUGGUUUGAGAGGAUGAUCAGCCACACUGGGACUGAGACACGGCCCAGACUCCUACGGGAGGCAGCAGUGGGGAAUCUUAGACAAUGGGGGAAACCCUGAUCUAGCCAUGCCGCGUGAGUGACGAAGGCCCUAGGGUCGUAAAGCUCUUUCGCCAGGGAUGAUAAUGACAGUACCUGGUAAAGAAACCCCGGCUAACUCCGUGCCAGCAGCCGCGGUAAUACGGAGGGGGUUAGCGUUGUUCGGAAUUACUGGGCGUAAAGCGCGCGUAGGCGGGCUGGAAAGUUGGGGGUGAAAUCCCGGGGCUCAACCCCGGAACUGCCUCCAAAACUCCCAGCCUAGAGUUCGAGAGAGGUGAGUGGAAUUCCGAGUGUAGAGGUGAAAUUCGUAGAUAUUCGGAGGAACACCAGUGGCGAAGGCGGCUCACUGGCUCGAUACUGACGCUGA